CCAAUAGCGUAUAUUAAAGUUGUUGCAGUUAAAAAGCUCGUAGUUGAAUUUCGGGGUUCUACCGUUGGUCGGGCUUUGUCUGUACUGGCGUGUAGAAUUUCUACCUUCUGGGGAACCAUCAUGUUAUUAAUUUAACGUGGUGGGAAACCAGGACCUUUACCUUGAAAAAAUUAGAGUGUUCAAAGCAGGCUUGUGUCUGAAUACAUUAGCAUGGAAUAAUAAAAUAGGACGGUGGUCCUGUUUUGUUGGUUUCUGAAUCACCGUAAUGAUUAAUAGGGAUAGUUGGGGGCAUUAGUAUUCAAUUGUCAGAGGUGAAAUUCUUGGAUUUAUUGAAGACUAACUUCUGCGAAAGCAUUUGCCAAGGAUGUUUUCAUUAAUCAAGAACGAAAGUUAGGGGAUCGAAGACGAUCAGAUACCGUCGUAGUCUUAACCAUAAACUAUGCCGACUAGGGAUCGGACGAUGUUAAUUUUUCUUGACUCGUUCGGCGCCUUACG
RNAcentral lists this ribosomal RNA (495 nucleotides) under uncultured Glomeromycotina. RNAcentral's name for it is "partial small subunit ribosomal RNA". It matches the Rfam family "Eukaryotic small subunit ribosomal RNA", at positions 591 to 1092 of the family's 1831-position model. Lineage: Eukaryota; Fungi; Glomeromycota. The record is from RNAcentral.